UCUGUCAUCAAUCUUUUCAUAAUUCGCCAUUCUUUAACUUUAUUUUUUUUUCUACAUUGAAUAAUUAGUCUCUCUCACUGGUUAAGACUAGUGCAAUUAAGGUAAAGUAGAGAGGCAUAAUAAUAUUCUUACUAGAAGAUAAAUAUGAUAAAGAGGAAGAAUAAUGCCAAUAGGGGGACCAUUUUUCUAAUGUGACACGUUUCUGCUGAUCUGUGCUCCGUGUCUUUUCUUCUUUUAUCUUUAGUAAAGUGAAAGAACCCAGUUUGUUAGCCAUUAUUGUCUCGACUUUAAGAUCAAUAUAAGCAAAGUGUGACAGAACAAUGAAGCUGCCAUUCUUGGUUUCUCUUCUCUGAACUUCAACGUUUGCGGCACACAGAAUGUGGAAGAAAAAGAGAAAGAAGAAGAUGAUGAUGAUGAUGAUGGCGACGAUGACAGCAAUGACGACAAGAAAAGAAUGUCAUGUGCUGAAUAAUAUUAUCCUCUGCUUCCUUUCCGGGACGUAAGGGGCUGAAAAGGCAAGUCAUAUAGGCAAAGGGAAGGCAACGCCUUUCUUCCGGGUUUGUUUCAUCUUUUGUUCUUUGGUGUAAGCCUAUUCUUGCACCAUAUUAUCACUGUAAUACCUUGUUUCAGACACUCUAAAAGGAGAUACUGUUAAGAGUUUAGCCGUUUCUCAAUGGCAAAAAUGGCUACCUAAUUGCUAUUGUAUGUAACUAUGUUCUGCUCAAUUUUUUUUUAUUCUACUUGUCUGUUUUCCUCCACUUGCAAAGAAAUGAAAAUAUGAUGAUAAUGAUAAAAACAUAGUGACACUUUUGUCCCUGUAAUAUGUCUGCCUCCCAGGAUUUUCUGACCUGAUCAAUGACACUUAUCGGAAGAUAUGGUUAGCGCACACAACAAAAUGACAGUGAUCCUGAAACUUGAAACCCUCCUAGUACUACUCUUGGUAAUAUGGUUGGCGCACACAACAAAAUGGCAGCGAUCCUGAAACUUGAAACCCUCCUGCGCCUGCCCAAAUGAUGAUACGCCAUGCUUGUAAUGUUUACACGCAGGUUGCGUAUAGUUCUAAUAUGAUGAUUCUGUUGUCCAGGUUAUUAAUAUUGAUGCAGAUAAACCAGAAAAACAAAGGGCAUGUAAAUAUUAAUAACUGGAAGUAUCAAACCUAACACAUGCCAAAGAAGGUUUCUGCAAAAUCAUAAGAAAAAGUUCCAUC
Molecule: long non-coding RNA, 1207 nt
Organism: Mangifera indica (mango)
Lineage: Eukaryota; Viridiplantae; Streptophyta; Magnoliopsida; Sapindales; Anacardiaceae
Exons: 2
Source: RefSeq, a predicted model, not a curated record